UGGGGAAUAUUGGACAAUGGGCGAAAGCCUGAUCCAGCCAUGCCGCGUGUGUGAAGAAGGUCUUCGGAUUGUAAAGCACUUUAAGUUGGGAGGAAGGGCAUUAACCUAAUACGUUAGUGUUUUGACGUUACCGACAGAAUAAGCACCGGCUAACUCUGUGCCAGCAGCCGCGGUAAUACAGAGGGUGCAAGCGUUAAUCGGAAUUACUGGGCGUAAAGCGCGCGUAGGUGGUUUGUUAAGUUGGAUGUGAAAUCCCCGGGCUCAACCUGGGAACUGCAUUCAAAACUGACUGACUAGAGUAUGGUAGAGGGUGGUGGAAUUUCCUGUGUAGCGGUGAAAUGCGUAGAUAUAGGAAGGAACACCAGUGGCGAAAGCGACCACCUGGACUAAUACUGACACUGAGGUGCGAAAGCGUGGGGAGCAAACA
RNAcentral lists this ribosomal RNA (427 nucleotides) under uncultured bacterium. RNAcentral describes it as "partial 16S ribosomal RNA". It matches the Rfam family "Bacterial small subunit ribosomal RNA", at positions 355 to 774 of the family's 1533-position model. The record is from RNAcentral.